AGGAAGCUGGUGGCCUUUAUUCAUCCUGGACCCCAUCCUCGAGAGAGUAGGACUCUCGGCAUCGUCAUCCCAGACGCAUAAUCCUACAUUGGUGACCCCGACUUCAAGAAGACGAGCGAGUGGACUCUCGCCCCGCCGUCUCCAGGAGCACCGCUUUUUCCGGAAUUGCAUCAUCCACGCCGGCGGCUUUCUUGCCGCGGUCAGCCUGGCUAGGCGAUCGCCGUGCACCGCUGCCGUGUUCAUCAUUUUCUUCAGCGGCCUUGUUGCCGCGGUCAGCCUCUCAGGCGACCGCCUUAUCCAGUCUUCGAGCUCUUCCUCGUCAACGGCGUUCACGCCGCGGUCAGCCUUUCAAGGCGACCGCCCCUGCAGCAACGUAGUGCAGCGUCUCGUCGGCGUCCUUGCCGCGGUCAGCCUAGAGGCGACCGCCUGUGCAGCAUCAUCGUCCAGCUCUUCAGCGGCAUCAUAAGCCGCGGUCAGCCUCUCCUGGCGACCGCAUUCUCCGGCUUCGCCGAUCAUCGUUAGCGGCUUUUUAGCCGCGGUCAGCCUCUCAAGGCGACUGCCUCGCAGCCAUCUCCUGCAGCAUCACUACCAGCUACUUCUCGUCGGUCGGCGGCGCACAUCUCGCAGCAGUUCGACCUGGACAUCAUCCACGAGUCUUCAAGCAUCGUUAGCGGCUUUCAGCGCAUUCUCGCAAGAGGAAGCUGGUGGCCUUUAUUCAUCCUGGACCCCAUCCUCGAGAGAGUAGGACUCUCGGCAUCGUCAUCCCAGACGCAUAAUCCUACAAUUUCGAGAAGAGAGGCGGCAUCUGGCGAGAGAGGAAGGUCCGAGAGCUUUUUCAUGCGCGCGAUGUCACGAUGUGUUUGCGACUUUUGUUUCGAUUGGUCGUUCGUUUGAAUUACCGGCUGCUGUACGUGGAUCGGCCAACCGAAUGUCUUCUCGGUGUCGACCAAGCUGAUUUUCAGACUUUUACAUCACUUUUGCCGAGUAUACAUGCGGUAAGGAAUGUAAACAGAUCGAAGAACCGAGUCAAGUCCGAAAGAUAAUGUUCCUCUUGGAUUGAUUUUAAAACGAAGGAAAAUUUGAGAAAAUGUAACCCCCAGCUUUCUUUACUAGAUCGAGAUUUUAUUUACAGCUAAUAGUUGAACAAUGCAUUUGUUAAAAGUAACUCAAGUAAGUCAAUGAGGUGUUUACCGAAUACGAGGUAGUACAAAAACCGAUUUGCUAUUCGACGAUUUAUCAUUACAAAUUACAUGUAAGAUGAUCGUGCAUCUUCUCAGUUGAGCAUCUUACAUAAACAUGCAGCAGUCUGCCUCUCUUAAUCGCAUUCUAAAUUAAUUUGAACUAUCCUUGUUAAAAAUCUCUAUCUAGCUUAAUAUAUCAUUCGCACAAUUCAUCCUACCGCAUACAUUCAUUUUUUUUUUUAAUUUUCUCGUAAAGUGCUACAUAUGAUUCUUCUUGAUGAGAACCCGUUUGUCCGUCAAUUUUUUGCUUCGUUUUCAAAGAAAUAUUGUCGACGCCCAAGAGUUCGUAAUAAAACGUUGUUUUUGCUUCCUUAAUAUUUCGUUUAUUCGGCAUAAAAAUUUGAAUAAUUAUUUCGACAUUUUCGUAUUGUUUCUUUUCUUAAGUGAUGUAAAAUUUUUAUUUACUUUGUGAAACGACCAAAAUCUAACAAAUAACACUCUUUGAGCACUGUCGCAGCAGCGCGUGCAGGUAUAUUUGUUUCGGCGACAUAAAAAUCGUACGAUCUCGUGUCUAUUUCACAGGAAUGAUUAGAAAAUGUAUUUAUAGCACAGUGUGGCUAAAAUCCGCUGUUAAGUCACGCCUAUCUGUGACUAAAGUAGUCCUUUUUUGCACCGUGAGGUUAGCGCACGAGACUAACGACUACUUUAGUCACGAAUAGGCGAGACUUGCGGAUGUUAGCAGUCUGUGCUAUAAAAUUUCAUAGGAUACGUGCGACUUAAAUGGUUCAGUUUUACACGGCGAUUAGCGCCGUGUAAAAAUCAACCAUUUAAGUCACACGUAUCAUAAUGUACUAUUUGCAAACAAAAAAAAAAUUAGAUCUCAAUGUUAUAUAAAAUGAUGCAUUUCUUUCAUUUACCUCCUUUUACACAACAUACCAAAUUUCGAUCAAAGCCUGAUAUAACUAUGAUCGGGAAACGACCUUUAUCCACAAACUGUUAAUUUUUUAAAUGAAAUAAUCAUCAUUUUAUGUUACAGGCCUGUAUAUAGUUACCCCAACGGAGUUUUCGGUCUCUGAUAUUAGAUACUAUCAUGUCAUGCUCAAGACGUCCUCAGCUGUCCACUGAUCCUUAUUGCUACUUCGGCAAAUCGAUGAAAAUUUCGCGAGAAUGCAGAAAUGAGUUAAAAUAGUCUACCAAGAAGUAGUAGAUAAUUUUUAAUUUCACUUCUCAGAGUUUUCUGACACUGCAAAAGAUUAUAAUUAAAUACGAUUCUUAGCACCGUAGAUUCAAGUUAU
Nasonia vitripennis (jewel wasp) is the source of this 2476-nucleotide long non-coding RNA. RefSeq lists it as uncharacterized. The transcript is spliced from 2 exons. The record is from RefSeq and is a predicted model, not a curated record. Lineage: Eukaryota; Metazoa; Arthropoda; Insecta; Hymenoptera; Pteromalidae.